This 434-nucleotide ribosomal RNA is filed under the name Escherichia coli. Its description in RNAcentral is "partial 23S ribosomal RNA". It matches the Rfam family "Bacterial large subunit ribosomal RNA", at positions 419 to 856 of the family's 2925-position model. Lineage: Bacteria; Pseudomonadati; Pseudomonadota; Gammaproteobacteria; Enterobacterales; Enterobacteriaceae. The record is from RNAcentral.
GGGACACGUGGUAUCCUGUCUGAAUAUGGGGGGACCAUCCUCCAAGGCUAAAUACUCCUGACUGACCGAUAGUGAACCAGUACCGUGAGGGAAAGGCGAAAAGAACCCCGGCGAGGGGAGUGAAAAAGAACCUGAAACCGUGUACGUACAAGCAGUGGGAGCCUCUUUAUGGGGUGACUGCGUACCUUUUGUAUAAUGGGUCAGCGACUUAUAUUCUGUAGCAAGGUUAACCGAAUAGGGGAGCCGAAGGGAAACCGAGUCUUAACUGGGCGUUAAGUUGCAGGGUAUAGACCCGAAACCCGGUGAUCUAGCCAUGGGCAGGUUGAAGGUUGGGUAACACUAACUGGAGGACCGAACCGACUAAUGUUGAAAAAUUAGCGGAUGACUUGUGGCUGGGGGUGAAAGGCCAAUCAAACCGGGAGAUAGCUGGUUCU